This is a long non-coding RNA of Triticum aestivum (bread wheat), 1343 nucleotides long. RefSeq lists it as uncharacterized. The transcript is spliced from 2 exons. Lineage: Eukaryota; Viridiplantae; Streptophyta; Magnoliopsida; Poales; Poaceae. The record is from RefSeq and is a predicted model, not a curated record.
CAAGCUGUCUUAUCUCCGAUUGACUCCUUCUCAAAUACUUUUUCUUUCUUGUCAAAUCUGAACCGCUCCUUCCAAAUUAGUAUUUUUUUUCGGAAUCAAUAUCUCCCGAACGUGCCACAUUCUGGAGUCUCAUCCCGAACGCCCUUUCAACCGUGGGAUUUCAACACGAAUCAUAGAGCACGCCAGAAUAGCCAUGUCAUUUAUUUUUUCGUUCGGGAAAAUCAAGGGCCGCCGCGAACGUUUUCCUCCACACACACACGUGCCCCCACUACUCUAUCCAUUUCCCUCUCCCUCCACCUCCCCCCUCCCACUCUCCUCGCUGCGGGACGGAGGGGAGAAGCAACCAAGCGCCGACGACGAGGCGGGCUCCUCUGUACUGCCGGAGUCGCGGCACGGAGGAGAUGAGGCGGGCGGCGGCGGGGAGGAGCUCCUCCGGGACCCAGCAUCGGGAUGUGGCGCGCCGGCGACGAGGCGGGCUGAUCUGUCCUUGCCAGAAUCGCGGCGCGACGGAGAUGAGACGGGCGGGCGGCGGCGAGAAGUUCCACUGGUGGUGCAGGGGCCGGAUCUGGCCGAAAUCGGGCUGAAGGCGGGGGAGUUCCCUUCGUCUCCGUGUGAAGAGAGGAGGAGCUACAUCGGCGUCGUGCGGCGGUAUUCCCCUUCAUCGCCGUGCACGAGGAGUACCCUUAGGCUCCGGCGGCGAUCAAAGAGACGGAAUCCAUGGCGGGGUUGCAGCCGCUCGCGCCGCCUGCUCGCGACGUCCGGACCAACUGGCUGCUGGCGCGCUCCGUGAUGCAGGUGCUCUUCUCGAAGCACGGCGAGCUCAAACGCCUCGACAACCUGGGUGCCUCCCUCUGCGGCGCCAGGAUCCCCUGCAGCCCGACGGCGCUGGACCUCCACUCCGGCAGCCAUAGGAGGACGUGAAGUCUUCAUGGCAAGAUUCUGCUGCACUCCACUGUGAGGCUGUUUGCUGCAUCUGCUAUUUCUUCAAGUCUAAUCUCAUUGCUGUUACGAAGGAAGAUGCCUGCUACGGCCGUGUUCGUAGCCUUGUUGAUCAGCUCCGGCUAUGGCUCCGAUUCUGAGUGAGGAGGCCAGCAGGAAGUAUAUCACUCUGCUUUUUGUGAAUGCAAUGAGCCAAUAUUCCAUUUUCCUGGCCGCCGAUCCUUCAGAUUCGGCGCUUCGACGGAAGAACAGGGGUACUACAUUUCCUUUUUCAUCUACUGUAGUUUUUCAGUGGCUCUUCUUUCAGUUAAAACUGAAUGCUAUACAUGUACAAUAUGCAUUUGACAACAGCAAUUUUUUCACUGAAGUGAAUACUCAUCAAGUAAACUGUCCAUGGGAAUUAA